This is a non-coding RNA of Arachis ipaensis, 729 nucleotides long. NCBI's taxonomy places the organism in Eukaryota, Viridiplantae, Streptophyta, Magnoliopsida, Fabales, Fabaceae. The record is from RefSeq and is a predicted model, not a curated record.
CUGGUUCUGACGAAGCGAACGCAGGGUCACGGACUCACAGUGAGAGACCAGAGAGCAACGAGGUGAGAGAUCCAGAGACAGAGAGUGACGAACUGACGACGCCGAGUGAGUGACAAACUUACGACGAGGGGAGAGACGAGGGCACGAGGUUGGCUGGGGAGGGGGUGGUUCCACCCAGAGACGAGGCUUAGGGAGUUAGGGUUAUUCAAAGAGGGGGUGGGGGGUGGUGGGUCUGAAACACGCCGUUUCAGAAAAAAGAAAUUAAAAAAAUUAAUAACUUGACCCGGACCGAAUUGGAUUAACCGGCCCGUUCACUAGGUUCGCAUAAAACCACCGGAUCGAACCGGGUUCAACUGGAUCUGUGGCAUGGACAGUUCAACGAGUGAUUUGGGUUCGGUCAGAUGACCGAAUUUUCGGUCGAACCAGUCAGAUAGAGUCGGAUUUGAUAACUAUGAGAAAAAGUCGCCGGAGGGGGAUUAGGUUUGCACUAGUAAAAGAGGGGAAGAGAAGGGAUAAGUAAACGACGUAGUUAUAGCUAAGACGUAUCGAAAUUCAGUGCAGAUAUAUUUGGUAAUUUGGAUUUGACAAGUAUUGAUCAUCAUUGUGGCUAAUUGAGAAUAUUGGAAGAAAGCUUAGGGCAUGCAAUGAGUUCGACAGAAGAUAGAACCAUCAUCUCACUCAUCGAAUUGACGAAUACCUCUCAAGUCUCAAGGCUAGCAAUCGGAGAAA